AUCAAAGGGGAGUUCAGCAGAUGCAAUGGAAGAUGCCUAUAGUCCCAGGAGUUCUGGGCUGUAGAGCACUAUGCUGAUCAGAUGUCCACACUAAAUUCAGCAUCACCAUGGUAACCUUGUGGGGAGCUGGAGGACCACCAGGUUGCCUCAGGAGGCAUGAAGUGGUCCAGGUUGGAAUUGGAGCAGAACAAAACUGUGAUACUGAUCAGUAGUGGGAUCAUGCUUGUGGAUAGCAACUGCACUCAAAUCCGGGAAGCACAGCAAGAUCUCAUUCCU
Molecule: signal recognition particle RNA, 276 nt
Filed under: Nomascus leucogenys (northern white-cheeked gibbon)
Lineage: Eukaryota; Metazoa; Chordata; Mammalia; Primates; Hylobatidae
Description: Metazoan signal recognition particle RNA (ENSNLEG00000030742.1)
Rfam family: Metazoan signal recognition particle RNA (bases 43-254)
About the family: The signal recognition particle (SRP) is a universally conserved ribonucleoprotein. It is involved in the co-translational targeting of proteins to membranes.
Source: RNAcentral